Molecule: ribosomal RNA, 453 nt
Filed under: uncultured bacterium
Lineage: Bacteria
Description: partial 16S ribosomal RNA
Rfam family: Bacterial small subunit ribosomal RNA
Source: RNAcentral
UAGGGAAUCUUCGGCAAUGGACGAAAGUCUGACCGAGCAACGCCGCGUGAGUGAAGAAGGUUUUCGGAUCGUAAAACUCUGUUGUUAGAGAAGAACGUUGCAUAGAGUGGAAAAUUAUGCAAGUGACGGUAUCUAACCAGAAAGGGACGGCUAACUACGUGCCAGCAGCCGCGGUAAUACGUAGGUCCCGAGCGUUGUCCGGAUUUAUUGGGCGUAAAGCGAGCGCAGGUGGUUUAAUAAGUCUGAUGUAAAAGGCAGUGGCUCAACCAUUGUGUGCAUUGGAAACUGUUAGACUUGAGUGCAGUAGAGGAGAGUGGAAUUCCAUGUGUAGCGGUGAAAUGCGUAGAUAUAUGGAGGAACACCGGUGGCGAAAGCGGCUCUCUGGACUGUCACUGACACUGAGGCUCGAAAGCGUGGGUAGCAAACAGGAUUAGAUACCCUGGUAGUCCACGC